This 623-nucleotide ribosomal RNA is filed under the name uncultured archaeon. Its description in RNAcentral is "bacterial SSU rRNA". It matches the Rfam family "Archaeal small subunit ribosomal RNA", at positions 339 to 999 of the family's 1478-position model. The record is from RNAcentral.
GCGCGAAACCUUUACACUGCACGAAAGUGCGAUAAGGCUAUACCGAGUGCCAGCCUAGGGAAUAAGGGGAGGGCAAGCCUGGUGUCAGCCGCCGCGGUAAUACCAGCUCCCCGAGUGGUCAGGACGAUUAUUGGGCCUAAAGCAUCCGUAGCCGGCUUCGUAGGUCUUUUGUUAAAUCCAACGGCCCAACCGUUGGAAUGCAGGGGAUACCGCGGAGCUAGGGGGCGGGAGAGGCGGACGGUACUCCAUAGGUAGGGGUAAAAUCCUUUGAUCUGUGGAAGACCACCAGUGGCGAAGGCGGUCCGCUAGAACGCGCCCGACGGUGAGGGAUGAAAGCUGGGGGAGCGAACCGGAUUAGAUACCCGGGUAGUCCCAGCUGUAAACGAUGCAGGCUAGGUGAUAGGGAGGCUACGCGCCUCCCUAGUGCCGCAGGGAAGCCGAUAAGCCUGCCGCCUGGGGAGUACGACCGCAAGGUUGAAACUUAAAGGAAUUGGCGGGGGAGCACACAAGGGGUGAAGCCUGCGGUUCAAUUGGAGUCAACGCCGGGAACCUUACCAAGGGUGACAGAGCAUGAAGGUCAAGCUAAAGACGUUACCAGACAAGCUGAGAAGUAGUGCAUGGCC